This 497-nucleotide ribosomal RNA is filed under the name uncultured bacterium. RNAcentral describes it as "partial 16S ribosomal RNA". It matches the Rfam family "Bacterial small subunit ribosomal RNA", at positions 28 to 507 of the family's 1533-position model. The record is from RNAcentral.
GAUGAACGCUGGCGGCGUGCCUAAUACAUGCAAGUCGAGCGAACGGACGAGAAGCUUGCUUCUCUGAUGUUAGCGGCGGACGGGUGAGUAACACGUGGAUAACCUACCUAUAAGACUGGGAUAACUUCGGGAAACCGGAGCUAAUACCGGAUAAUAUUUUGAACCGCAUGGUUCAAAAGUGAAAGACGGUCUUGCUGUCACUUAUAGAUGGAUCCGCGCUGCAUUAGCUAGUUGGUAAGGUAACGGCUUACCAAGGCAACGAUGCAUAGCCGACCUGAGAGGGUGAUCGGCCACACGGGAACUGAGACACGGUCCAGACUCCUACGGGAGGCAGCAGUAGGGAAUCUUCCGCAAUGGGCGAAAGCCUGACGGAGCAACGCCGCGUGAGUGAUGAAGGGCUUCGGAUCGUAAAACUCUGUUAUUAGGGAAGAACAUAUGUGUAAGUAACUGUGCACAUCUUGACGGUACCUAAUCAGAAAGCCACGGCUAACUACGUG